Molecule: long non-coding RNA, 402 nt
Organism: Spea bombifrons (plains spadefoot toad)
Lineage: Eukaryota; Metazoa; Chordata; Amphibia; Anura; Pelobatidae
Exons: 3
Source: RefSeq, a predicted model, not a curated record
UGAUUCUGCAGCUACUCUAGACAACAUUUCAGCUCCGACAUAUUUUUCGGAGUCACUAUAUUCUAGUUAUGGUGUAACAAUACAGAUGCUCAUUUCUUCUGAAGAAACUUCAUUUUGCUACCUCUCCCGAUCCUGAGUGAAUCCAGCAAACAUCUGCGUUUCCAUAAAAAGAUCAAGAAACUGACGUAUGCUCCGGGAAGUGUGUGAUUUUCGGAAGGGAUCUCUCUGGAAGACCCUUUCGCCCUUUUCAUUCACAUACAUGUUUGUUACACGUGAACCUGGUGCCAGGAAAACAAUGCUCAUAUGGGAUGGUCAUGCCCGGAGGAACACAGAAUACGUGCUCUGUGCGCUAUACAUAAGGGUGGAUUAAACUGGAAUGGUGAGAAAUUGUUACGGUCAACA